This 406-nucleotide ribosomal RNA is filed under the name uncultured bacterium. RNAcentral describes it as "bacterial SSU rRNA". It matches the Rfam family "Bacterial small subunit ribosomal RNA", at positions 355 to 776 of the family's 1533-position model. The record is from RNAcentral.
CGAGGAAUCUUGCGCAAUGGGCGAAAGCCUGACGCAGCAACGCCGCGUGGGGGAUGAAGGCCUUCGGGUCGUAAACCCCUUUUGCGGGGGAAGAAGUUCUGACGGUACCCCGCGAAUAAGCCACGGCUAACUACGUGCCAGCAGCCGCGGUAAUACGUAGGUGGCAAGCGUUGUCCGGAUUUACUGGGCGUAAAGCGCGCGCAGGCGGCUGGCUAAGUCCGAUGUGAAAUCUCCCGGCUCAACUGGGAGCGGUCAUUGGAUACUGGUCGGCUUGAGGGAGGCAGAGGAGAGUGGAAUUCCCGGUGUAGUGGUGGAAUGCGUAGAUAUCGGGAGGAACACCAGCGGCGAAGGCGGCUCUCUGGGCCUUUCCUGACGCUGAGGCGCGAAAGCGUGGGGAGCAAACCGG